This 301-nucleotide ribosomal RNA is filed under the name uncultured Mycoplasma sp. RNAcentral describes it as "bacterial SSU rRNA". It matches the Rfam family "Bacterial small subunit ribosomal RNA", at positions 1001 to 1323 of the family's 1533-position model. Lineage: Bacteria; Bacillati; Mycoplasmatota; Mollicutes; Mycoplasmatales; Mycoplasmataceae. The record is from RNAcentral.
UAGAAAUAUAGUGGAGGCUAUCAGAAUGACAGGUGGUGCAUGGCUGUCGUCAGCUCGUGUCUUGAGAUGUUUGGUUAAGUCCCGUAACGAGCGCAACCCUACUCUUUAGUUAACCAGUUCUAAAGUGACUGAAUCGUAAGAUAUAGGAAGGUUGGGGCCAAGUCAAGUCAUCAUGCCCCUUAUGCCUCGGGCUGCAAACGUGCUACAAUGGUAGGUACAAUGUGUUGCAAUCUAGCAAUAGUGAGCAAAUCACCCAAAACCUAUCUCAGUCCGGAUAAAAGGCUGCAAUUCGCCUAUUUGA